GCAAUUCAGGGAAAACACAUCCGAGAGUUCCGAGCAUGGCCCAUCUGGCAUGGAUGACCUCAAGCUCACGGUUCUUGGAGAAGGUCUCGGGAUCCGCUGAGAGUCCGGCAGUGUCCCAUCCGUAGUCACCAGGGAACUCACCGGUGAGGUACGAUGGUGACUCUCCGGAGAAUGGACCUAAGUACUUGACACAGUCGAAACCAUACCAUGAACUUCCAGACGAAACUGACUUCUUGACUGUGUUCCUCCUCAUGGUGAUUCUUCAAACACCGAAGAUGGUAUUGGGCUUCUGUGCGAGCUUCACGGCCUUUCCUGCGAGGGAAAGGGAGGAGAGAGCAGCCAUGGAAGAAGCCAUUGCAGGAAUUGGUCAGAUUAGUAGGAAAGGUAAGUAUGAAUGGUUUGUACAAUCAAAAUUGUCGACAUAGGAUUAUAUUUUAAUCAUAUCAAUUUAAACUUUGAUUACACUAUUAAUCAAUAAGGGUUAAAUAAGUCAAUCGAUAUUAAACCUAACUUCAGUUAAUUACUUAAUCAUUUGAGUUAGGGUUUAAGUCAAAGUUAAAAGUCAAAAUGGAAUAAUUACAUUUUACCUUGAAUAUUAUUAUUUGGAAUAAUUGUAUUUUUACUUUAAAUAUUAUUAUUAUUAUUAUCUUUAACUCUUUAUUCAAGUUAUAAUAUUCCAAGAGGACAAAAAUACUAUUCAUGUUUGAAUUAUUUAAAGAUAAGAUUCUCCAAGGACAACACACUAUCCAAGGAGAUAAGAACACUAUAUAUUCAUGUUUGAAUUAUUCAAAGAUAAGAUUCCUCAAGGACAACACACUAUCCAAGAAUUCAAGAUAAAAUCAAAGACAAAGUUUUGAUUUUUGUGAGAAAUUAAGGAGUCAUCCAUUGAAGAUCCAAGGGUGGACAUUGAAUGGCCAAGGCUAUAAAUAGAAGGGUAAUCUCCUCAUUUUCACUCACCACACUACAAACAAUCAAAGAGUUUUCACUCCACAUUUGAGCUCUCACGUUUUUGUCUUCAAGCUUCCAAGUGCUCAAGUGUCUAACUUUCCAAAAGCUUCAAAAACUCUUCAACUUCUUCUUCUGAUCUUCUUGUUCAUCUCUACAAGUAAGAAGUGUUGUUUGCUUAAAUAUUUCACUCUUUCUAAUCACCUCUUGUGUGUGUCCACUUUAGUUGAGAGGGUUGUCUCAAUAGUACCAAAGUAUGAGAGAAGGUUUUUGAGCUCAACCAUAAAACUCUAGUUUGUUUUAUAGAGUUUCCGGGAAAACUCUUAGGUCGAAUCUACCUUGAAAGAUAUCUAGGUUUUUAAGAGUUCCUUGAUACUCUAAGGUAUGAGUCUACCCGUAAAAGACGGGUUCCUAAGCGAAGUUAGUCUUAAAGCUUAGAGAGGUUUUUAAGAGUUCCUUUGAUACUCUAAGGUGUGAGUCUACCCGUAAAAGACUGGUUCCUAAACGAAGUUAACCUUAAAACUUAGAGAGGUUUUUAAAAAUUUCCUUGAUACUCUAAGGUUUUGUCAUUAUCUUUAGUCUAGUGAAUUCCGACAGUUGGUCGGGACUGGAUUAACCCUUGUUUGGGUGAACCAGUAUAAAUUCACUUGUGUUGUUCUUUGUUAACUUUAGUUUUUAUCUUUCAUCUAAAAACAACUAAACAACACUUAAUUGAAAAUGAUCCAUCUUCCAAUUAUCUGGUCAAAUACAGAGGUUGACUACUUUACGCAUAUCCCUUAUCUAGUUAUCUGGUCAACUAUCUGAUGUUAUAAUCAUUGCCUUAAAUCUUUAUUCAGAUAUUUAUUCAAGCAUUUAUUUAUCAAAUAUAUAUCCAGUUAUCUGGUCAUUUCUUUAUAACUUGCUUAUCAAAUAUAUAUCCAGUUAUUUGAUCAUUCACUCUAUAAUAUAACUUGUGCUUACAAUAUAACUUAAUAUUCAUAUACUAUAGUUGUUUGUGAAACACUAUCUAAAAGUUGACUCUGUAUUCAUAUACUGUAGUAAACUUCGAGAAAAAACAAGUCAAAUAUAUAAUAUUAUAAAAUAUUAUAUUAUAUUCCUUAAAAUCAUAUAAUAAUAUUAUAUUUUUAACAAUAUUUAUAUUAUUAUUAUUAUACAACCAUUUGUAUAUUUAAGUGUGUGCAGGUAAUUCUGCUGUUUAUCUGCAAAAAUCGAAAAUAGACUAUUAUCCUCUCUUAUAGUCUCGGAUCACGAUCCAACAUGGUUAUGACUUGUGGCCUUGUAAAAGGGAAUUGUUGUAGUAAGUAUGUAUUUAUUGAGAAAUUAAUUAGAUGGAACAUUAUUAUCUGAUCUUCAUGUAAUCUUCAACUCUGUUCUGAUUGGAUUAUAAAAUAUUUGUUACACGUGUCAUGUUUUAAGCAGAUAGGGCAAAAUCAAGGACAUGAUUAUGACUAAGUUUUGAGAUAUUAUUAAUACACGUGGCAUGUUUUAAGAUAGGAUAAAAUCUUGUGACAUAACAUUGAUUAGGUUUUAGAUAUUAUAAUUACACGUGGCAUGUUUUAAGAUAGGGCAAAAUCUAAAAUUAUACAAAGAAAUUGAGUUGGCAAGCACAGAGACCACGGAAGCAAUUGAAUGGAUGAGAUAUAAGUAGAUAAAUUAACGAUUGAAGCACUAUAUAUAUAUUGCACCUCAAAUAAUCCAUUAAUCACUCACUCAUCAUUUCGACAACUAAAACAAACACUUAACAACACACACAUCAAAAAUCUCGUCAAUGGCUUCCUCCAUUGCUGCUCUUUCUUCCCCUUCCCUCGCCGGAAAGGCCGUGAAGCUCGCCCAGGAGCCCAAUGCCAUCUUCGGUGUUGGAAAAAUCACCAUGAGGAGGAAUACAGUCAAUAAGUCAGUUUCGUCUGGCAGCCCAUGGUAUGGUUCCGACCGUGUCAAGUACUUGGGUCCAUUUUCUGGGGAAUCCCCAUCGUACCUUACUGGUGAGUUCCCCGGUGACUACGGAUGGGACACUGCUGGACUCUCGGCGGAUCCCGAGACCUUCUCCAAGAACCGUGAGCUUGAGGUCAUCCAUGCCAGAUGGGCCAUGCUCGGAACUCUCGGAUGUGUUUUCCCUGAAUUGCUCGCACGUAACGGAGUGAAGUUCGGCGAAGCUGUUUGGUUCAAGGCCGGUUCGCAGAUCUUCAGCGAUGGUGGUUUGGACUACCUCGGUAACUCCAGCUUGGUCCACGCUCAGAGCAUCCUUGCCAUCUGGGCCACCCAGGUGAUUCUCAUGGGAGCCAUUGAGGGAUACCGUGUAGCCGGUGGACCUCUUGGAGAGAUCGAGGACCCACUCUACCCCGGAGGCAGCUUCGACCCACUCAACCUUGCCGAAGACCCAGAAGCCUUUGCCGAGUUGAAGGUGAAGGAGUUGAAGAACGGAAGACUAGCCAUGUUCUCCAUGUUUGGAUUUUACGUUCAGGCCAUCGUCACUGGAAAGGGUCCAUUGGAGAACCUUGCAGAUCACCUCGCCGAUCCCGUCGCAAACAACGCAUGGAAUUACGCCACAAACUUUGUUCCCGGAAAUUAAUUAAUUACAUGAAUAUGGUCGAUUGAUUGAAUCUAUAAGUAAUUGAACAUAGCCUUUCUUGUUCGUGUAAAUGAAUGUGCAUUUGUUAAUGGGUUUCUUUUAGUAAUUGAGAUUUGAGAAUAUAAUUAAGCCAUUUAAGUACGCUUAAAACAGCAAAAUUUUAAAGCUUAAACCAGAAUUUUUUUCAUUACGGGCUGAUUUUAAAGCACUAAAAAUACUAUUUCAACAAAUAUUUUCAAUUGGACCGCAGUUUAUUUCUUAACAUCUCGCCUAAGGCGAAUUUUUCCUUUCUAGUAAUUAGUAAAUGUAUGGAGUAUGGACUGCUAUAUAUUGUAUUUUCAAAUUUAAAAUUACAAAUAUUUUGAUUUUUGAAAAAUAAUGAAUAGUAUUUAUAUUUACCAUGGAAUUUAUGAAUGUAAAACAAGUAAAAUUUGAGUUUAAAAGGUCCAGGUACGAUCAUGAAAUUCCUCAUCUUCAUACUAGUAAUUAGUAAAUGUCUAACCCAAAAUACAUAGUAAGUUAAUAGAGGAAUGAGUGUUGGCGAUCUCGAAGAAAAAAUUUGAUAAGCAUAGUUAUGUUUCUGGUGGAAAACAGUUCGGCACAACCUAUUGCAAUGCUUGUAAAUAUAAUCUGAUAAUGAUGAAUGAUGUGCUUUCAUGUUCAUUUUUGGAAUAAGAAUGGUAUUUAGAUUAGCUCAACUGGUAUUAUAUUUUAGAAAUCAUGAUAUAUAUGAAGACAUGGACAAGUUGAAUCUUCAGAUAACUUGGAUUUAAGAGAUCAACGAAAUUCACUAUUGGUUGUUCUUGCAACAGUCUGGAGAUAAAGUUUUUCAUACUGUACUGAUGAGGAAUUCCAACUAAAAUCUGUUCUCAUGUUCUUCUUUACGAGCUGUAGCCAGCCAUCUUUGUUACUUGUGUACAGAUGAAAUGCUCGUUCCAAAGCAUUGUUGAGCCCCUGAAGAUGGGAGAGGAAUUGAAUAGAUAUCAAUUAAUAGUGAAGCAGGCAAAAAAAACUAUAACCAAUGACAGUAGGGCUAUAAAACACCCACCAGUUCAUCUGCUUUUGAAAAUGUAAAUCCAUUUUUCAAUUGGGCAGGGAUUGCAUCAUCGUCGACAUCAAAAACACUUUAAGAGAUAAAUGCAAGGAUAUAAUCAAGUUUGAUAAAAAAACCUCAUUCAUAUAAUCAAAUUUAAAAAUGUACAAUACCUAAAUCUUGCCUACCUAUCAUUUAGCCCUCCUGUAUUUCGUACAAUAGGCACUGAACCAUAUCUCAUGGCAAUCAUCUGUUGAAUGGACCAUAUUACAUUGAAACUUUAUAAAAAAAUUAGGAGUUUAAACCUUUUGAUUCGACAAACAUUUCUGAAAAAAAAUUCUAAACAAUUUGCAAAAACGAGUAAAAUUUUCAAAUUUAGAUCAAGGUUCUAAACAUUUCAUAUUUUCAUAUGCUAUUUAUUGUAUGCUUGAUUGAUAAUAAUCUUAAAAAAUCUUUAAAAAAUACAGUAAAUUGUAUGCUUUAUUGAUAAUAACAAGACUGUAUCAAUGGAUUUAAGACACACGGAAUAAACUAAAACAUCACAAUAUCAAUACCUGUGUGAGACCACAUGGUUCAAAAAUAGAGGGCAUGACAAACAUGUCCGACGCUGCAUAUAUAAAAUGUGACAGAGCAUUAUCGUAUUUAAGCACUAGCCGAAUGUUCGGAUGAUUCUGAAAUUGAUUUGCGAUAUCCUCAAAUUCUCUCUGCAUUAAUAGGAAAAAAAUGUUAGAUAUAGAUGGCAUGUACAAUUGAUGUCAUUUUGAAAGAUAAAUGCUGGGAUGCUUCUAUCUCAAUCCAAUCCUUGUCCAAAUUUUGGUCAUAUUUAAUUUCUUACGAAACAUUAAUUAAAUUCCCACUAGUGAUUUCUCAUAAAGGAGUAAAAGUUAUAAAAAAAAACUCUCGGAGACUUCCAUUUCUUCAUAAAUAGCUUCAUUUCACAUAUAUCAUACAUUUAGUUAGAAACCAUGAGGUUGAAGUUCAGAACAAUGAAAUAGGGCUAGAAAAUAUGACAUUGAGAAGGAAACAUGACUGAUUAUAACUUGUACAAAAAGUACAAAAGGAUUAAUUUAAUUUGUCCAUGUGAAAAUAGAUGAGAAUGAUAAGAUGUUAUUACUAUAAUUAUAAGAGCUCAUACUCCUGCUUCAAAAAAAAAAGAGCUCAUACUUGAAUGUGAAUGAUGGGACUGGAACCUAAAAGAAUGAAUUGGCCUCCUAAUUCCAAUGUUCGAUAGAUAGCAUGCCUGAUAAGAUGCACACCUUUUUGUGGCACUAGUCGUGUAAUGCAAGCAACCUAUUCAAAACCAUAAAAACAUAAAAUUCGAUAUUUUGAAUGAAAAACAUAAAAUGAAAAAGAACAAAAAUCCAGAGAGUUGGUUACAAAAAUAACACAACUUUUACAUAAAGAAAGGCCAUGUGAAGUGGUUUACAUGCCAACACCAUGUAAACAUAUAUCUUAUAUUCUUACGGUAGAUAAGUAUACAUAAAUUUGCUGUGAUCAUGCUAACAAUAUCAAUUUGAAAGAUAUAUUGUGGACCAUCCACAUAUUUAAUCACAAAACUAAUCCUUUCGAUAUUCACGUCACUUUUCUGUCUUCUUAUAAAUACAUAAACCUUUAUAAAAAAAUCAAGUUACCAAGGGUUGAGAUGGAUUCUUUGUAGAAAGAUUUAUGUAUUUUCUUAUAGCAUCUUUAUUAUCAUCUUUCCCAUGCAGAUCAUCAGCAUUGUAAUGAAAUCUUAGAAAUGGGUCCGUAAAAGGGUUCCAUGUCUCCGUAUCAAUUCCAUUGACAAUUCCAGUAAAUUUCAAAGAGUGUAAGUUCAAUGUAUCAUGGAGCCCAUGCCCCCCCUACAAAAAAAGAAGCAAAUCAGCAAAGUCUAAUUUUUCUAAUCUCUGGCCAUUCUUGAAAUUGAACUAUUAAUUUAUUUAGAAAAAUGUGAAUAAAGGAACCGUUAGGGAGAAUCUAUAUAUAUUUCAAUUUUCAAGGACGUGAGCAUAAAUGAUUAAAUCAAACCUUAACAGAGUAGAAACAAGAGCUUAAAUGUCACGGAAAAUGAUGUAGACUAUAUGCUUCAUUUUGUAUUAUUUUUUUUGCAAAAAUUAAAUAUUUCUCAUUAAUAAUAAUGAAGGGCAGUACCCUGAAAUUACAAGUGGACAAGAAAAUAAAAUGUGGUGGGGUGAUAAAGUGGUUUCCCACACCAUCGACCUUCACCUAUAUGGUUUGCAUUCUUAGUGAUCAACUAACUAAUUAAGAGCUAAACCUCAGGAGGUUAUCUCUCAAACCUGCAAUGUAGUGUGUAGUCUUCUCCAUUUGUGAACCAGUCUUUCUUAAAGUCUGUUUAUUUAACUUUGUAUUCAUUAGUAGCCUGAUUAUGCUCUGUAUCAUAUGCUCUUGAAUCUACAAUGGCUAAAAUGGCACUUAUUUCAAGCAUCCUUUCAAUAAUUUAUUAAACAAACCUGAGCAGUGCGAACCUCAUCUGCAUAAGUUGGUGAUACAGUCGUCACAAUAUUAGAGAACACAAUCGCACCCUGAAAAGUAAUAUUUUAAAAAGCGUAAACAAACUUCACAAUAUUCUGAGCUUUGAUUUUUAAAAGGGAAACCAAAAAUUCAAAAAGAUGUAGGCACAUUACACAAUUAAAAGUAACAAUGAUGCAUGAUUGCCUUUUAUUACAAAAAGCAACGAUUCGAUUGAAACCUUAACAAGAUUGAUUCUGUCAUGAUUUAAAUUGUCCAUCAUUCUAUCUGCUCGAUGUAGUCGACGAAUGCCAAGUCCACAAGAUGCCAAUUCUGAAGCAUGUGCCGUUCCCUGAUACUCAAAGUUGUGACAUGUGAAACAUAUUUUUGCAAAAUUAAAUCCAACUACUGCAUAUAACUCCCAGUAGAGUGGUGGCUGUAAGAAAAAACAUUACGAAUAAUGACACAAACUGCAUAAGUAAAACAUAUAUAUUUACUAAAGGAAAAGCUUCAUGCUUACAAUGAAAGCUGUUUGCCAAUCAUGACAAUGAAUUAUAUCAGGUUUCUUUCCAAAUUGACAAAUAAAUUCGAGAGCUGCACGACUAAAAUACGAAAAACGUUUGAAAUCAUCAUGUACUCCAUAAACAUUUCCUCGCAAAAAAAACUGAGCUGGAUGAAGGGGUUCAAUGAAAUAAACAGGUAGACCUGAGUAAUACAAUAAUGGUGAUCAGAAAGGUGUGAACAAUAAGUGGGAGAAAAAUGAAAUAAUACCUUCAAUAGUCCCAAACCAAAUUUUGUUUUUGAAUAGAUGACCAUCAAAAUAAGAUUCUAUUACCACAUCUAGGAUCUACAAGGAGACGAAAAUCACGAAACAGCACAGAACAUCAAAUCACUGCACAUGUUUCUGGAGUACAGUGCAAGAUACACUUAAUGACAAAAUAUAAAUUAAAAAAAGUAUACUUGUAGAUUGUCAAUUUCUCCGAUUUGCAUACAAUCAUAUUUAGGCAAAAUAACUUCGACAAGAUGGCCUCUUCUUUGAAGUGCUUUACAAAGACCGGUGACAACAUCACCCAAACCACCAACCUUGUGAAAAAAAGUCAUACAAGCAUGAGAGGGUUUGUAGCUCAUUGUGGUCCAAAGAUAAACAGAAAAUACACACAUUGUCAUAUUUUUGAAAUAUAAAGCUACUACAUAUCAAAGUUACCGUCAUUGAUAUGAAUGGAGUAGAAAAAUUAGAAAUCUAUGAAUAAUGUAAAGAAAUCCAUCUAGUGAAAUCUCGAAGAUCAAAAAAAUUAAUGCCUUGUCAGAAUGAUAUGUGAUGAUGUUUGAACCAAGUUGGGCCAGAGCACCUUAUAGAGCAAGUCGAGUUGUCUUAUGUGUGAAAAGGGGUUUGAAUUAGAAUACAUGUUCUAUUCCUGUGUUCAGAAGUCUCGAGUAGUUUAUCUUCGUUAGUCAUCUAUUUAUCGAGGUCUUGUAAACGUUGUGGAAUUAAACACGUCUGCAAUGGAUAUAUGAUAGAAAAGGCAUUUCAGUUUAACCACUUACGGGUGAUCCAAACCUAUUUGGGUCAAGUAAAAUUUAUGUGGGUGAGUGAGUCAUCCAACAACUAAUCCACAGUCAACUAUUCAUUUAGACAGUCUAGGGUUUAUUUUAAAUUUUAACCCCAACGAGUCUAAUUGGCUUUAUCAAUCUGGGUUAUUAUUUUUCUAAGGAAUUUAUUAGUUCAACAACUAUCAGGUUUUCGUCUUAUUUUUAAAAAAGGAAUUAAAUACAUCUGCAAUGGAUAUAUGAUAGAAAAGGAAUUUCAGUUUAAGUGUUUAACCACUUACAACUUUACAAGUGAUCCAAACAUAUUUGGGCCAAGUGAAGUUUAUGUGGGUAAUCGGUAAUCCAACACUAACCCACGGUCAACUAUUCAUUAAGACAGUCUUGGAUUUAUUUUAAGUUUUAACCCUAACGAGUCUAAUUGGCUUUAUCUAUUUGGGUUAUUAUUUUUCUAAUUGUCUUUAUCAGGUUUUCAUCUUAUUUUUAAACUUAUUGUAUUUCCUAAUAAAGUACUAUAAUUAAAUCUACUGAUAUACAUAUAGGUAUGAAAUCUAAGUGUUCAAUUGGUUUCAAAGAACAGUACAAAAGGUCAAUAGUCAAUACUGAAAACCACUUCACCUACCUUGACAACUGGAGCCAUCUCUGCUGCAAUAUGAACGAUAUUCAGACCAGAGCUUCAAAAAUGACAAAUAAAAUCCUUAAUGAUAAAAAAGUAAUAUUUACAACGACAUAUAUAAAUUCAACUCAGAAAAGUAAUAUUUAUGCGGAUGAUGUGUUGAUUUUCUCUAAGGCAAAUACCAAAUCUUUAAAUACAAUAAAAAAAGUCCUGGAGAAAUUCUCAUUUUACUCUGGUCUAAAAAUUAACUCAGUAAAGAGCUUAAUGGCCUUCUCGAAAAUGUGUUGAUGACAUCCCUUCGAAUCAUACUAACUAGGUUUUCACACCAAACCACUCCCACUCACAUAUCCAGGUCUCCCAAUAACAAGUAAGAAAAAAAAUCCUAUAAUCAGUGUUGGAAACUAAUCCAAUCCAUAGAAGCUAUGCUAGCUAAAUGGAGUGGGAAGUGCCUCUCCUAUGGAGGGAGAAUCCAAUUACUAUAUUGGAUCCUAACAGGGAAGUAUACCUAUUGGGCCCAAGGCACUGCCCUCCCUGAGUCAAUUGCUAGCAAAGUAAGGAUAUUAGCCUAUAAUUUCAUAUAGGACGAGAGAAAGGGGAUCCCAUGGAAGCAGAUGAUCCCCCCCAAAGCAGAAGGUGGAUUAAGUGUUAGAAAUCUAGAAGUCAUAGUUCCAGUAAUAAACAUCAAAAGAAUUGACAUGUUUUGGGGAAAUCUGACUCCAUCCUAAGUCCUAACUAGUUGGAUACAAAAGAGAUAUAUCAUGUAAAAGGAAAAGCCCUUAUGAAUAUACAAACCAGAAGCUCCAUAGACUCCCAUUUAUGGAAAUAUGUUAUGGGAUAUAGGACUAAAGCUAGUGCAUUGAUUGAAUGUGGCCCAAACUACACAACUCUCUGAAAAAUGGGAGCCCAAAUAGGAAACUUACAUCAAUCUGUGAGGAAAUUAAAGACAAAAGCCAUAAAGAAUUAAAGACAACUUAGUUGAAGGAAUAUGUGCACAUAAACCUUUAAUUUUUUUAAUUUUUCUAUGGAGAACAAAAUGGAUUCAUCUAAAUACUUUUAUUAGGCUGAAAUCUGAAUGGGUGGGGCAUGCCCAUCCAGCCCACAUGCUUGUCAUGCAACAUAGAGGAUGACUCUAAAACUCACCUAUUCUUCAAUUGCACUUACACUAGAGUCAUCCUUCUACCCCUAAUUGAAAACCUAAAUAACAUUUUCUGGAAAAUACUCAACAUAGCCACACCUACCACAAACCAUCCAGACAUCAGGUUAGGAAACCUCACUGAUUUGGGGUCAUUCAGAAACUAACACAUCACUCUCCAAUUUAGGGUCUACUAUGGAACAUGAUUGGAUCUCUUAUGUCGGCAUAUUUGGGCAGAAAGAAACUGCAGAUGUUAACAACAUACACUCAGGUCACCAGAAACAAUUCUGAAACAGGUCACGAAUGACAUGAGCAUCUCUUUCAGGCACGAAUGCUUCAAGAAGAGUUGUCGUCAUCCCUUGGAGACCAACACAAUACAGAUAUGGAAGAUCAACCUCCAGAGGCAGACAACCUAAUUCUUAUUAGGCAAUAUGGCUGAUUGGAAAGUGUCAAGAUUAGCCUAGUGCUCAUAUCCAUGUUUUUAUUUUAUUUGUUGAACUCCAUUGAAUCUACAGGGAAUGUCCAUUUUUAUCAAUGAGAAACUUAACUGUUUCAAAAAAAAAUCAACCCAAUGUACGUAAUUUCAAUAACAUAUAAAUUCUCAAGGACUUGAGUACUGCACUCAAGGAUUUUAAUAACAUGAAUACGUGAUAGGCUGAUAUUAAACACUAUUUAUCACUUUGUGUUUACCACUAAAACUGCAUAUAAAGUUAGAACGAACUAAAUUUUUCUUUGAAACAAUAGAGUAGUUACAAUUUCCUACGUUAUUCCUUGACUAAUAGGAAUCUAAAUUCUCAACGCUAAUAGAUAGAAAUCAUCUUAAAAUUGAUGUGACAUUAAUUGGCCAAUAUAUAGCUAACCGACUAGAAGAUUGUUUUGGCUAUUCUACUAUUCCAAAUUUAAUCAAGAGUUCAAAGCCUUAAAUUUUGACUAUAUCAUCGAUUUUCUCAUUACUUUACUAGGCAUAUUAUAUAACAUAAAAAACUUCCAAGUGAUGUAACAGGAUAUGUACCUUGAUUGAGAUGAUAUAAUUUUAAGGAAUGUGUCAAUAACCUUCUGCUGAAUUUCUCCAUUACAAAUGAAAUAUGCAUCCUUAAUUCGAUCGUCUCUUUUCCAUGCCAUUUCCCUCAAUAAUAUUGCAUCAUUGGAAGAUAUUUUCUUCUCAAGUAACCAUGAAUCAACCAUCGAUAGUACGUGAUUCCACAAUUCCUGUGGCAUAUCGUCAAGAGAUCCAUUUGACAAUUUUCCCAUACUUUCUUCUUUAUGUUUACUUACUAUGUCCUGUAACUCUUUCACAGAACCUUGAUAUAUAGGAACAUUAGCAUUUAUUUUUUCAUCCGACAUUUGAAUUUGAUUCUCCAAUAUCUUUACUCUCUGUAGUAAAAUUUCUUUACAUUCUUUAUUCUCAUCAGAAAUAAAUCGAUCAGGAUUUGAUGCUUUGAGUAAGGCUUCUAACUUCUCAACUUUUCUUUCUAGUUCGUCAUUUCUUUUUAGGAUUCUGUCUGCUUGAUCAGCAUGUUUUGUUGCAGUAUCAAGUAGAGCAUGCAAGCAUUCUAUCUUAUAAUGGAGGUCUUCACAUUCGGUUUUUAAAAUAGAGAGCUUGGAAACAUCUUUCUGUGCCACAGAAAGCAUAAAUUCUAACUCUUUUACAGAAGCCAACAGUUUAGAUCGUUCGUUUUCAAGUGAAAAAACUCGUUCAUCUAUCGCUUGAACAUUUCUCAGUUUGUCUUUAAGCAUUUUUAUGUCAGAUUUUAACACCAUAUUUUCAUUUCUUAUGCGGUGAUUCUCGUGGUCAUCAGUUUCUAUUGUGUGUAUUUCAUUUUUAUGAACAACAUUCGUUUGUGCAUCAUCUUCUACCAAUUUCAUCUCAAGAGCAUUCACCUUUUGCUGCAACAUCUCCUUCUCAACAAGUAUCAUCUUAAGCUCUUUAAGGGCAUUGUCAUGAACUUUAACAAUCAAAAAGAAAAUAGGCAAAUUCAUCAUUAGUAGUACAAUAUGAUUACGUAUAUAAAAAAUAUAAACAUCAAGCUGUAUUCUUACUCUUUUCUGGAUUAUUGAUCGUGUGAAAUAAAUCAUCAAGCUCGAUUCUUGAGGAUUGGUUUUUAUCAUUGACAUUUUUAACCUGUUGAAUGAUGUUAUUUUUUAAAAUGAAUACGUAAGACAAAUUAACCACAUAAAAUGAAGCAAAAGAGAUAUCGAAUAAGAUCAAAUUUCCUUAUUAUAAGCAUAAGUGUAAACUAAAAUAAUAAACGUGAUUGAUCUUUUUUUCAUGUAUAAAGAGAAAAUUAAACCAAAGAUUACCUCGUUUGUUUCAGAAACAUUGUUAAUACCAUUAGAAUCCUCAUUAGCUAUAGUUUGGUUAUGAGAAUAGAAUAUACAAUCAGGAAUGGCAUUUUGAUCUAUUGUAUCUUCUUCAUCAUUAUGUUGUAUUUUCGGUUUCAGUAGAGGUUUCUCCUGGGAGUCAUUUUUCAAUUGGAGUCUUCUUAGUUGGUAACUGCAUAUAAAUAAAUGGUCAACCUAAUUGAUAAGAAAAUGCAAUCGACUUUAGCAUAACAUUUUUUCUUGAGGUGCACGAUUAAGUAUAUUCUAAUUGUUAAUUAUCGUUUAAGUUUACAUAACUAUAUAAGUAAAAUUACUUAAAUAACGACAUUGGAGGUGAAUAAAAACCGUUAGGGUUUAAAAAUUAAAGUGCACAGUAUUUCAUUCAGGAGAAAUUCUCACUUUAAAAACUAGACUCGACUAAAACAUUUAUUAGAGAUGUCAAUAAGUGGGAGAGAUACUCGAUCCCUUUUCAUUCACAAUGAGUAUCAUAUAUAUGAUAUGAUACGAUACUAAUUAGUGAUAUGAUAUAUGAUAUGAUAUGAUAUGAUAUAUCAUAUAUCAUAUGAUAUGAUAUGAUAUAUGAUAUGAUAUAUCUUAUCAAUUAGUGAUAUAUCAUAUCAUAUAUGAUAUCAUAUCAUAUAUAUGUAUCAUAUCACUAAUACUCCCCCCUCAAGUCUGAUGAUGUGAACAAAUCAGCUUGUCCUUGAGAUCUUUGAAGAGUUUGGGUUUCAAUGCUUUAGUGAGAAUAUCUGCUUGUUGUAGAACAUUCGGUAUGUGUUGCACAACAAGAGUUUUGUCCUCCAUUCUUUCUUGAACAAAUCUGAAAUCCAUGGCUGCAUGUUUGAUUUUAGAGUGAUAAACCGGAUUGGCAGCCAAAUGAGUUGCUCCUAAGUGCACAAACAAUGAAGGAUCAGAUUGGCUUGGUAUAAAACCCAUUAAAUUCAGCACCAUUUUUAGUCUGCGAAACCACAUCCUUGAAGAUUGUUUGAGACUAUAGAUAGCUUUCUUCAAUAGGCAGACGUGAUUUGGACAUGAUUCAUCCAUAAAGCCUCUAGGUUGACGCAUUAAAAUCCUCUCUUUCAAUUGACCACGUAAAAAUGCAUUACCUAUGUUAAUUUGAUUAAGUUUCCAACCUCUUGAAACUGCAAUAGUUAAUACUGCACAAAUAGAUACAGAUUUUACAACUGGACUGAAUGUCUCAUUGUAAUCUCUGCCUUCAAUCUGAUCACUCCCAUUUGCCACUAGCCUUACCUUCAAUCUGUCCACACUGCCAUCUGAUGCCAUAUUAGAGAUGUCAAUAAGUGGGAGAGAUACUCGAUCCCUUUUCAUUCACAAUGAGUACCAUAUAUAUACAACUUAAUACUACAAUAACAUAUAUCAUAUCACUAAUUAGUAUAUCAUAUAUAUGUAUCAUAUCACUAAUAAUUCUUGAAGUUGAAAAUGUUAUAAUUCAAGGUCAUUCUUAUUUCUUAAUGAAGAUGGAUGAUAACUAAAGUACUUGUAUUUCGAUAAGGUAAAAAAAAAUACCGUCAACAUUCAACCAUGAAUCCAAUUCUCCAAAUUCCAAAGCCCUAAACCCUAAACCCCGCAGAAGUUGCCAAAACAUCAUCCCACCGUUUUGACUUAAUUUGUAAUAAGAAAAAGAGCAAAACUGUGUUAAAACUAUGAUUCUUCUGGUAUUUAGAAUUCAUAACAAAUGAUGAAUGUAUGUUACAUCAUUACUAAACCAGAACGAAAUUUAUGCGGUGUGUACCUGUCGUUUCUUUUCCCCGUCUUACAGGAAACAGCGGAGAAUAACCGGAGAGAACGAAACGGCCUGAGAUCAUUCGUAUUCCGAUGAUUGUUGAGCGAGAAAAAUAUCAUCCCACCUGACGCAUCCGUCGCCACCAUUAUCAUACAGCGAUCUCUCUCUAUCUGACUCUGUGAAUAUGUCAGUUACUCAGUUGUUGUAGUGAAAGAGAGAGGAUAAAUAAUAACUUGAUGAUGUGACGUCUUUUUAAUCGUUGGAAUUUUUAUAAACGGUCAGAUUGAAAUACAAAGACGUUGAGAUCUGUGCCAAAAUUAGAAAAUAAAUCGAACAGAAGUUGAGUCGUCCGGCGAUCUCUUUAUUCAGAUUUCCCCCAUUGAUGCCGAUCAUGUAAGUUGCGAACAUAUUCCUCUGUGAUUACUGUUUUACUGCUAUAUUGUUCCAUCUUCUGGUUUGGAUAAUGUAGGGUUUUCUUUCCACCCCAGAUCAAUUUACUUGGGGCGACUCCCUCAUUCUAUCUGUAUAAUUUGUUUUGUUUACUGCUUUCUUUGUAUAAUGCUUGGUGCAUAAAAAAAUUUAAAAAAUUACAGGUAUGAAAUGAACAGGAUGACUUUGGUAGCCUCUUUUGUACUUUCACUAGUUUUAUUGGCACUGGUACUUCCAGUCUCAGCUGAGGGACUCUUCAAAAUUAAACUGAAGAAGAAACCUCUUGAACAAAACAACCAAGUUUCUAUGAGGUUUUUGCCCAAGAACAGGCACUCACAAUGGCCUUAUGCUCGUAAUUAUGGUCUUAAUGGUAUUCUUAGAGGUGAUGGAGAAGGUGAAGUUGAUAUUGUCUCUCUUAAGAACUAUUUAAAUGCCCAAUAUUUUGGCGAGAUUGGUAUUGGCACUCCACCACAGAAUUUCACUGUUAUCUUUGACACUGGGAGCUCUAAUCUCUGGGUUCCAUCCACCAAGUGCUAUUUAUCGGUGAGAUUUCUUUGGUUGUAUUAAUUAUAUAGACAUUGUAGUAUUGUACUGUAUUGUUUAAGGGACGGAAUAAGUAGUAAUGAAUGAUAUUUGCGUCUUUUUUUUGGGGUGUAGCUGGCUUGUUAUUUCCAUUCUAGAUACAAAUCGAGCAAAUCAAGUACCUACAACAAAAAUGGUUAGUUUUCUUCAAUUAUUCAUUCGCAAUUUUGAUUAGUUUGCUAUUUGUAUUUAAUACAUCUGACUACUUUCAUUGUUAUGUUUUUGGUUCAUAUUCCUGCUUUCAUGUAAUUUGUUAUUAGUACUCAUUACUGACCUAACACAAUACCAUAUUUUUCUUCUUUGUUGUUCAGAACUUCAGGUGCAUUGAUUUUUUUUUAUUAUCUUUCUUGGUAUUGCAUAUUAAAGAUACAUCUGUAAAUUUUAUUUUGUGUGCUUCUACCUUGAGCAGGAACGUCUGCAGCAAUUAAAUAUGGAACUGGUGCCAUUUCUGGGUUUUUUAGUAAAGAUAGUGUUGAAAUUGGUGAUCUUAUUGUUAAAAAUCAGGUUGAACUUGUACCUGAUGACUAAUGUCAUACCAUAAAUUUGGAAUGCUUUUUUCAUAUUAAAAUUAUUGGUCAUGUAGGAUUUCAUUGAAGCAACGAGGGAACCUAGUUUAACUUUUUUACUAGCAAAAUUUGAUGGUAUACUUGGUCUUGGUUUCCAAGAAAUCUCGAUUGGAAAAGCAGUACCUGUAUGGUGAGUUCAUUUUUUACGAUCUUUCAAGUUUCAUCCAUCCAAGUUUACAGGAACUAAGAAUGUAUUUUAAAUCAAUCACCAUAGGUAUAAUAUGGUCGAUCAGAAUCUUGUCAAAGAACCUAUUUUCUCUUUCUGGUUCAAUCGAAAUGCAAACGAAGGGAUUGGUGGUGAAAUUGUAUUUGGAGGAGUUGAUCCUGAUCACUAUAAGGGUGAGCAUACUUACGUACCUGUUAGUCAUAAAGGUUAUUGGCAGGUAAGUUUUUCUCUAUUUUGAAAUGAUUAUAAAUCGGUCCACAAAAUAAUGAGUUAUGACUUGCGAGAUAUUAAUCUUUUAUAUAUAUAUAUUAAUAAUGCAGUUUGAUAUGGGUGAUGUUCUUAUUGGCAAACAAAGCAGUGGUAAAUUUCGUUCUUUUCUCUCUCUCCUUACCUUUUUUGUUCUCAAGUUAAACCUUGAUAUCUUUUUAGGAUUUUGUUCCGAAGUAUGCUCAGCAAUUGCUGACUCUGGAACCUCUUUGAUUGCUGGUCCUACAGUAAGGAAAACACAUGCUAUAAACAGAUUUUUAAGCACUAUAAAGAGUUAUUUAAUUUAUUCAUACAUAUUUUUUGCCAUGCAGGCUACUGUUACUGAAAUCAACUAUGCUAUUGGAGCUGCUGGUGUUGUAAGCGAGGAAUGCAAGACCAUAGUUGCAGAGUAUGGAGAAAUGAUAUUCCAAUUUCUGGUUUCAGAGGUAACUUUUAUGUGUAAAACUGUAAUUACUUGGUUGAUCUGUUUAAAACUGUAAUUAGGUUUAACAUUCAUUUGCUGGGUUUUGAUGAUGUGUAGACACAACCAAGUAAAAUAUGCUCUGAGAUAGGUCUGUGUGAGUUCAAUGGAAUCCAAGGAGUUGGGUUAGUUCACUCAUACAUGAUUUCUUAGUUACGUGUUCUUGGUUUAACAACAUUUCUCUAUGAACACAGUAUUGGCAUUGAGAGUGUGGUUGAUGGUACCGGCCUUCGAAGUGAUGUUAUGUGCAAUGUCUGUGAGAUGAGCGUUGUAUGGAUUAGAAAUCAACUUAUACAGAAUCGGACACAAGAAUCCAUAUUAAAUUACGUCAAUGAGGUGAAGGGAAAAUAUCAUUUAAUGUUUUUUUGUAGGAUUUAUAUUUGUCAUUAAGAAUAAUCCAUUGCAGUUAUGUGAACGAUUGCCGAGUCCCAUGGGAGAAUCAGCUGUUGAUUGCAGCAACCUUGCCUCUAUGCCUACUGUUUCUUUCACUAUAGGAGGCAAAAUAUUUCCACUCAAACCCGAGGAGGUAAAUCUGCAUAAUUAGGAUCAAAGAGGUCGAUAAUUGACAUAUACUUAUGCUAUCACUUUUCCUGUACGUGCAGUAUGUACUCAAAAUUGGAGAAGGUGGUGCUGCCCAAUGUAUCAGUGGAUUUACAGCUAUGGAUGUGCCGCCUCCUCUUGGCCCUCUUUGGUAUAUUUCAUUCAACUCUCCGUGGAUAAUCAAACCGCUGGCUAUGUAUAUAUAUUAUGCAAUUCCCUUUUGCCCCUUGCAGGAUAUUGGGAGAUGUUUUCAUGGGACCAUACCACACUGUGUUCGACUAUGGAAACUUAAAAGUUGGGUUCGCUGAAGCUAUGUAGACCUUAAUUUCUCUAUAUCACUUAUACAUAUAUAUGAGAACGAAUCAUCAGAGUCUGUGUGCCUGCCAGAUCUAAACCUUUUUUAUCUUUGUAGUUUGUUCUGGUUUUAAAUCUAUCGCGUGUUUUAAAUCUAUCAUUAUCAACCUCUUAAUUACCUGUUUUUUUGUUGUCAAACUAACAAUGUAACAGGAUGGGUAUUCUUGCAGUGACCAGAAAUAACAUGGUGAUUUUCUUCUUCGAAACAUUUUGCAAUUUAUAGAGAUUCAAUCUUGGAAAAAGGAUAGUCAAAGUCGUAUUUAAUAUCUGUGAUAUCGUUGCAGUGCCCGAGGAAUAUUCUCCAGACAGCAGCAUUGGGCUGGAAAGGCAUAUUGCUGAUAACCUUCUCUGCUUCUUUAAGGUAUCCAUUCUUACACAGCAAAUCCACAACACACACAAAGUGAUCCAUGUCAGGUUCAAUUCCAUAUAAGCUCUUCAUAUCUCGGAACAACGCCAUUCCUUCUUCCACCAAGCCGGUGUAUCUGCACGUCGAAAGAACAGUUACAAGAGACACUCUGUCUGGUAUGAACCCUUCUGUUUCCAUCUGUUUGAAUUUCUGCAAUGCUAAUAUUCCAUGGCCAUGAAUCCCCAAUGCUGAUAUCAGAGCUGUCCAGGAAACCAUGUUCUUUUCACCCAUUUCUUUGAAAACUUUUAAAGAGCCCUCAAGAUUUCCACAUUUCCCGUACAUAUCAAGCAGGACGUUUUGGACAAACAAGUCAAAUGACUCGAAUUGCACCUUGAUUAGAAGUCCGUGAAGAGAAGUACCUAGACCAAGACAAUUGAGGUCUGUACAUAAACUGAGCAGACCCACAGCUGCGUAAUUAUCUGGAAAAUUCUUGCCAAUCAUCAUCUGUUUGAGGAUUAGAAAAGCUCCAGAAAGAUCUCCAGACCGAGAACAUGAAGCAAUCAAUAUGUUCCGUGAAGUAGCAGUGACAUCUCCAGUGUCAUUAAUACAACCCAGUAAUCUCUGAGCAUCGCUGUAUCUGCCGGAUCGAUUAUACGUUGCUGCAAUUAUGUUGGCAGACACAGAGUUCAAUGGCGUUUUAAGUAAACUAGCGUAUCCCAAGGCAUCGGAGAAGUAUCCAUUUGAAGAAUACGAAGACAUCACAGCAGCAGAAACGUAGCCGUCGUCUGAAUAUCCCAUCCUGAUGAUCAGGGAGUGGAUCUGGUUGAGCUCCGGAAAUGAAGAUCCUUUAACUGCUGAAGAUAGCGUGAACUCAUUCGGCCGACACAUGCCGUUGUGAAGCAUGAUUCUUAGAGGAAUGACUGUUGAAUGGUCAUUGUUUACGUAUCCUGUGAUCAGUGUAUUCCACGAAACAACGGUUUUCGUUGGUAUUUCUUCAAAGAUUUUCUCGGCGUGUUUGAGGUGUUUGUGAUUAGCGUAGAAAUGCAGUAAAGCGGUGCCUGUGAAUUCAGACUUAGCCAGACUGUUCUUUAUGGCUUUGGCAUGGAUUAUUUCGCCAAAGAAGAACUCCGGCGGAUCGAGAGAGCAACAAGCCGUGAUGGUGCUUGUGAAUGUUGUUUCGGUUGGAUGGUACCGGCCGUCAAAAACCAUAUUGAAGAAGAAUUCCACGGCUCUACCUGGCCUGCGACUCUUCGAAAAGGCCGUGAUUAUCGUGUUCCAUGAAAUUGUAUCGGAGUUUGUCAUAGUAGUAAAGAGUUUCUCCGCAGUUUCCGGGCUUCCGGAGGAAACGUUGGAGUACAUCUCGAGUAGUGCAUUUGUUAAAGUGACAUCGGAUUCCAUCCCUAAUCUGAUUACAAUUCCGUGUAUAGUUUCUCCGUAUAAAGAAAACUCCGGCGAUCGGCCUAUCGUGAGAAGAGUCAGGAACGUGAAAGAAGAAGCCUCGAUACCGCCAUGACCGCGGUUCCUCCAAAGCUCCCGGAAUAGAAUCGUGCAGUCGUUGGUAAAUCGAUGAUUGGCAAAUGCAGCAAUCAUUGAAUUCCAUGUGAUGACCCCUCGUUCCGGCAUCUCCAUGAACACCUUCAACGAAUCAUUCAGAUUCCCUUGUUUCCCAUAAAACCCCAAGAGCGCCGUACCGGAGAAUUGAUCGGAGUUCAGUAUACCAGAUUUCAACAUCAAAGUAUGCAAACACACUCCAUUUUUUAACUCCAAUGCCGAAGACGAGCCCAACAGACUUCCGAACGUGAAUUUCGUUGGUCUGAUUCCGGCGACUCCUAGCAUCUUCGAAAUAAUCUUUAAGCAUUUCCCAACGUACCCAUUUUGGGAGUACCCCGAAAUCAUGGAGUUGUAGGACACAGAGUUCCGUCGGGGCAUUCUUUCGAACAGUUUCUCAGCAUCGGAGAGGUUGCCUGCAUUGAAAUAAGCAGUGAUGACACGGUUGUAAAAACAAACAUCUGGAUCGGAGUUGGAUGUGAUGGAGAUUGCGUGGGUAGGUUUGGCUGAUUCUUCUGUGAUUUCGGUCCAUGUUGUAAUGAACUCCGCCGACGGCAGGUGGUAUCGGUAAUGUUGGCAUUUGGGUUUUAAAAGAGAAUGAAGCAUCAAUGAACAGAUAUUUUUCUCAGCUGGUCAAACGAAGAGGAAUAUUUAUAAACACACUUCACUUUCAUGGAAACACGUAGUUUACAAUAUUACACGCUCUUUAAUUAGUUUCCGGGAACGAAGUUUGUGGCGUAAUUCCAUGCGUUGUUUGCGACGGGAUCAGCGAGGUGGUCUGCAAGGUUCUCCAAUGGACCCUUUCCGGUGACGAUGGCUUGAACAUAGAAUCCGAACAUGGAGAACAUAGCUAGUCUUCCGUUCUUCAACUCCUUCACCUUCAACUCGGCGAAGGCUUCUGGGUCUUCAGCAAGGUUGAGUGGGUCGAAGCUGCCUCCGGGGUAGAGUGGGUCCUCGAUCUCUCCAAGAGGUCCACCGGCUACACGGUAUCCCUCAAUGGCUCCCAUGAGAAUCACCUGGGUAGCCCAGAUUGCAAGAAUGCUCUGAGCGUGGACCAAGCUGGAGUUACCGAGGUAGUCCAAACCACCGUCGCUGAAGAUCUGCGAACCAGCCUUGAACCAAACAGCCUCGCCGAACUUCACUCCGUUACGUGAGAGCAAUUCAGGGAAAACACAUCCAAGAGUUCCGAGCAUGGCCCAUCUGGCAUGGAUGACCUCAAGCUCACGGUUCUUGGAGAAAGUCUCGGGAUCAGCUGAGAGACCGGCAGUGUCCCAUCCGUAGUCACCGGGGAACUCACCGGUAAGGUACGAUGGGGACUCCCCAGAAAAUGGACCCAAGUACUUGACACGGUCGGAACCGUACCAUGGGCUACCAGACGAAACUGACUUCUUGACUGUAUUUCUCCUCAUGGUGAUUCUUCCAACACCGAAGAUGGCAUUUGGCUCCUGUGCUAGCUUCACGGCCUUUCCGGCGAGGGAAGGGGAAGAAAGAGCAGCCAUGGAAGAAGCCAUUGAGGAGAUCGGGUUAUGUGUUCUUUGCUUGACUCUGUGAAUUAUUGAGUGAGUGAGUUUUUGAUGGUUUAUUGAUGGUAAUAAAUAGUGUUUGUUGAUUUAUCCACAGAAUCACAAAUAUCGCAUUCAUUCAAUCGUUCUUUAGAGCUUCUAUGGUCUCUGUGUGUGCCAACUCAUCUUCUUCAGAUUUUCUGUACUCUGUCAGUUUUUAGAUUUUUUAUCCUAUCUUAAAAAACUCCACGUAUGAUCGUGUAAUAAAUACAAAAUACCUUACAGUAUGCCACGUGACUGUUCUUUGAUAUUUUCUAUCUUAAAAUAUACCACGUGGAAUUAGUAGUUACAAUGCCACGUGGAAUCCGCGCCGGUUCCAGGUGAGACCGGACAUUCGCAGCCUGCUUCAGUUUCGCAGGUGAAGCUGGCUCUAUAUAAUGAUUUGAAUUAUUUUAAUAGGAUUAACAUAUAUGAUUUGAUUUGAUUUGAAUUGAAUUGAAUUGAAUUGUUCUUCAAUCCAAAUAAUUAACAAUAUCGAUAAACAUAGUUUAUGAAUCUGGAACAUCAAUCUGGUGUCUAGAUUAUGGGGCUACGGAUCAUAUUACCGGAGAUGUCGCAAAUAUUCAAAAUCCCAAAUCUUGCAACAAGUCAAUUGAUGAUGUCUUUAGUCCAUCAGAUCAGGUUCAUCCAAGAUCAGGUUCAUCCAAGAUCAGGGCUGAUAGGCCUAGUAAGGUAAAUAGAAUGGGUGGGUCUGUUCCACCCGACGGGUCUUGGUUCGGGCGGACCGGCAGACUCAUCCGUCGGGUCGUCCAGGUUCGCUUGUAGAACCUAUCGGGACGGAUUUAGGCUCAAUUUAGUAGAAAAAUAUAUAAAUACCCUCAGGGGUUAAACGUAGAGGAAAGAGAACAUUUGUAGUACACUUGUAAUAGAAAUUGUCUGAUAUAUACUCAAUAUAAGACGAUCAUCAAUCAAUGCAGCAGAUCGACGGACACCCCUCUGAUAACAGAAAAUACGUUCUUGAUGAUUUAUUAAUGGUUCCCACAACAACUAAGAAUAGUAAAGAGAUUCUAUUGCGACAGUCGAGUCUCAAUUGAAUUUGAUUCACAGAUCGUAAAGGUGAAGCUAAGGAUCUUAGGAUAAGGAACACACUCUUCGUCGACAAAGACAGAGAUAGUCUGUACAAACUUCAAUUCCAUUGACUGUUAGCAGCAUUUUUCAGGCAAAUCAAGCGAUGAUGGGAGACAAAGCUAAUGCAAGAACAUGCUAUUUGUGACUUUGUCACUUAAAUAGUAAAGCAAUGGAGAGAUUGAAUUAAUAAGAACAAAUUGAUUUCUGUUUUGGAUGUAGAUCAUAUAAAAGAUGUUUGUGAAGAAUGUUGUAUCAAUAAAUUACAUAAAAUUCAACAUGUAUCACAAUCUAUACGAAUUCAUUGGACGAACGUCGAUCGAUCACCAGAAGAUCGAGAGGGAUAGUAAAACCUAAUUCCAAAUAUGUGUUUGCAAUUGGUCCGACGAGAAAAACUAAAGGAGAAGAUAUUGAUGAGUUUCAUGAGUGAAGAACAUCUUGAUCAUAUCUGAUUGAAAAGUGGAGGGUGAUGGUGUGUGGGCUCGCGUUAGGGGGUUAACACACACAACUCUUUAGUAUUUCAUGAGUGAAGAACAUCUUGAUCGUGUCUGAUUGAAAAGUGGAGGGGUGAUGGUGUGUGGGCUCGCGCUAGGGGGUUAACACACAACUCUCUAGUAUUACUUUUACUACUAAUCGAUCCCCCUUUCCUGUUGAGCCAGGGAAGAUUUUUAUAAGACAUCUCUCUGGGCCUCCUGGGCCCAAUUGUCUGUUUGGCCCAUGGUCCGUCUGGACGGGCCUUGGUAACAACAGAGAUGAAAAGGAUAGAAUUAAAAAUAAUUAUUCAAAGUUGGGCAAUUGUGCAAUUGAGGGAUGGAUGUUCAAAUCAUAUUUAUAUUGGUACGAAAUUUGUAAUUUUCGUGUCUAGAAAUCUAGAAAUUAGAAUCAUUCGUUGAUAACUCGAUCAGAUCUGGCCUUGGAGUGAGAGAUGCAGUUUUUUGGCGGGACAUCGGAGGUGACUCUGUCGCCGUCGGUUCCAUCCAGUAUCGGAACAGGACCACUCGGGAGUAACGCCUACAUGUUGUACUUGUUCAAUCGGAAUGGCGUGUGUCUUCUUUACAAGGAAUGGCACCGUCCGUUGAAGACUCUUGAUUCGAAUCAGGAUCAGAAGCUGAUGUUCGGUCUCCUCUUCUCUCUCAAAUCGUUCACCGCCAAGAUGGAUCCUACUAGGUAUGACUGAAUAUAACCGAUUCAACCUCAGAUUUUUUAUUCAUGAUCUGAUCUUCUUUGGGAUCGAUUGAUCUUCUAGAGUGGAGAAAGGAAAUCUCGGAGUGCCGUUGUUGCCAGGAGAAGGGUGUUCGUUUCAUUGUUUCCGUACAAAUACUUACAAGCUUAGUUUCAUGGAAAGCCCUUCAGGAAUCAAGGUUGGUCUUGUCAAAUUUCCUCUCUUUUUUUCUUCUGUUGGCAUGACAUAUUUAACAUUGUUUUUGUUUAUCUUAUUUUUACCUUUUAUGUGCUGAUUUAUUUUUAUUUUCUUUGUUUUGAAAUAAGACAGAAAAUUAGAAACCAUAGAAUUGCUUCCAAGCUCAAGGAUCUAUAGUAUCAUGUAAUCUUUAGUCAACCCCACUCAUGAGAAUAUAAUACAUCGCCUAUUAUUGGUCAAAUGAGAAUUCUGCAUAAAAUUCCAUACCAACUAACUGGGUGAUUUUGAGUUUAAGAGUAGUUACUUGUUUGGUCCUCUAAAUCCAAUACCAGCUCAUUUUAUGUGACCCUCACCAUAUAUAUUAGACUUUAUAAUAGUUGAAUUCAAAUUUUCCAAAAGAAUCAAGUUUAUCUACAAUGUUUGAACAUGAUUUAUUCUAUUGGGUUUGCAACAAAGGGAAUGUUAUAAAUAAAAAUAAUUUUUCUCAUGAAUUGUGAAAUGCCUUAGUUUAUAAAAUUUUGAGAUGACUUUGAUCGCAAUCCUAGAUUGAUAAAUAGUAGUUUCCUUUUUAUUUUCAAACAUUUUUAAUCUGUGCUACUUCCGACCUUUUGUAAAUCGUUUUUGUUGUUGCAUUUUGUGUCCAUUGUUCGAAUACCAUUUUUCAAUGUUUAAGUUGUGUUUCCAUAUUUCUAUCUUUAUUUUAAGAUCUAACAAUUUGAAGUCACGAUUCCAGCAAAUAUUGAUUAAAUAUUUGGUCGUAUGAAAUUUUUGUCUGUAUACACUAAAACCAAAAGAUUGAGAUUUUAUGAUGUUCGCAUAAAAUAUAAAAUAUAAUAUUUAAUAUUGAUUAAUGAUUCUUUUAUUAAAAAACAACAAGUAAUGAUGCUAAAUAUUAGAGGCCAUAGGACUUGUUAUGAUUUUUGUUGUUUUAACUUUUAAUAAGGUUAAGAUCAGGUACAAACUACUUUGGCAUCAUUCAGUAGAAUCGCUUGAUCUUGUCUACUUUGGAAUAUGCAUGUGCAUAUUUCUAUGCAGCAACGAUUUGGUGUCACAUCGAAUUGCAUGGGCAAGGAUCGUACCUGAUCUUUACCCUAUCUGUUCUAGUUAUUUCUAUUCAUUAUCUUAAAUAAGUGAAAUAAAUCAAAUAAUAACUGACUGGGUGAUUUUGAGUUUAAGAAUAGUUACUUGUUUGGUUCUCUAAAUCCAAUACCAGCUCAUUUUAUCUGACCAUCACCUAGUAUAUUAGGAUUUAUGAUAGUUUAAUUGAAAUUGUUCAGAAGAAUCAAGUUUGUCUGCAAUAUUUGAACAUGAUUUAUUAAAUCGGAAGUUUGCAACAAUGAAAUAUUGUAAAUAAAAGGUAAUUUUGGUUAUGACUUUGAGAUUCCUUAGUUUAUAAAAAUUUGAGAUGGCUUUUGAUUGCAAUUCUAGAUUUAUAAUUAGUAGUUUCUUUUUAUUUUCAAACGUUUUCAAUCUGUACUACUGACCUUUUGUAAAUCAUUGUAUUGUUCAAAUACCAUUUUGGUUUUGUUCUGUCAAUUAUUCAAAUACCUUUUUUCUAUGUACCUUUCAAGUUUACAAUUUCAUGUCGCUGGUCGUCUGGUAUGUUUGUCUAUAUACCAGAAGAUUUAGGAUUUUAUGAUGUUCGUGAUUCUUUUAUUCAAAACUUUAAGUAAUGAACUAAUGAUGUUAAAUAUUAGAACAUGUUUACAUUUAGUAGUAAAGUGUAGAUUAUUUUACUUUUUAAGUUUUUCUUGUUUUAAUUAGGGAUAAGAUCAGGUAGGUACGAACCACUGUGGCAUCAUUCAGUAAGAUCACUUGACAUGUGUAUGCAUAUUUCUACGCAGUAACAAUUUGGUGUCACAUUGAAUUACCUGAUCCUUGUCCAUUUUUUCAAAUAAUUUAGAUUUUUCAUUAAAAAUGGACGAUAUCUUCUUAUCUUUUGUACUAUCUACUACAGAUCAUUUUAGUUACUCAUCCAAAAAGCAAAGACCAUCGAGAGAACUUGAGAUAUAUCUACAAUUUGUAUGUUGGGAAUGUUGUCAAAAAUCCCCUCUAUGUUCCAGGAACAGCAAUCAAGUAAGUAUAUCCAUAAUGUACAUAAAAUUUUUUUUAGCAUUGCAAUUCCAUCGAUAUUUUAUCUCAAUGCAUAUAUUUUUCCUUUUUUUUUAUAGGUGUGAACUGUUUAAUACCAGUCUUGAUCAAUACAUUCAAACUUCAAUUUAACGUACUAGAUAAACAUAAUGCUGUUCAGAUAUUAUUUUCUAUUCAUUUAAAUUAUUGGAUGAGAUCAUGAGAUGAACCUUAAAAACAUCAAUCCAAUGUUUGAAUUCAUCUAAUAUUUGGCUAUAUCUUUUACUGUUUUUAUAAGAAAAUUAAUACAAUCUGCUGCCAUUGAUUUGUUUGUCAUUAGAUCCUACUUUGAAAUAUAAGCUUUUCAUCUAAUAUCUGGUUUCACACACCGUGUGAUGAUGACAUUGAAUCAUCUACCCAUCAAAGUCGAUUAUCUCAAAGAGCCAAAGAUGAAAUACAAUGGAGAGAUUGAAGAUAGCGGAUCCUCCCAAUGGGUUUCCCUCUUUCAGCAUCGGUCGGUAGUUGACCGUAGACGUCGUCUUUAGACAGAGCCUCUUCAUCUGCAGUGGCCCUCUUCUAAAACUUAUAAGGAGUUGAGCCAGUAGAGAAAAUCCCCAUUGUCCAAUACGAUUCUGGCAUGUUUGGUCUCAUCUGAUAUAGUCUUCCAUGCUGAUUGGUGAGGUCCUACUUCUUGCAAGUACUACAUUUUUUUCUCUUCCUGGAUUGAAGACGGUUGCAACGGUUAGUUUUCUCUCUCUCUCUUACCAAAUUGGUCUUUAAAUUUUUUCUAUAUUGGAGGUUAUUUAGAAAAUUUUGCAUUAAUUUUUAAUCCAUAAACAUUCCAAAACAUUUACAAAUCAAGCUUGAAGCAUAAAAUGGAAUGGAUGGAUGCAAUAGACGUUUUUUGGACAGAAAGCAAAAUAUUUAGUUUCCGGGGACGAAGUUGGUGGCGUAAUUCCAUGCGUUGUUUGCGACGGGAUCGGCGAGGUGGUCUGCAAGGUUCUCCAAUGGACCCUUUCCGGUGACGAUGGCUUGAACAUAGAAUCCGAACAUGGAGAACAUAGCUAGUCUUCCGUUCUUCAACUCCUUCACCUUCAACUCGGCGAAGGCUUCUGGGUCUUCAGCAAGGUUGAGUGGGUCGAAGCUGCCUCCGGGGUAGAGUGGGUCCUCGAUCUCUCCAAGAGGUCCACCGGCUACACGGUAUCCCUCAAUGGCUCCCAUGAGAAUCACCUGGGUAGCCCAGAUUGCAAGAAUGCUCUGAGCGUGGACCAAGCUGGAGUUACCGAGGUAGUCCAAACCACCGUCGCUGAAGAUCUGCGAACCAGCCUUGAACCAAACAGCCUCGCCGAACUUCACUCCGUUACGUGAGAGCAAUUCAGGGAAAACACAUCCAAGAGUUCCGAGCAUGGCCCAUCUGGCAUGGAUGACCUCAAGCUCACGGUUCUUGGAGAAAGUCUCGGGAUCAGCUGAGAGACCGGCAGUGUCCCAUCCGUAGUCACCGGGGAACUCACCGGUAAGGUACGAUGGGGACUCCCCAGAAAAUGGACCCAAGUACUUGACACGGUCGGAACCGUACCAUGGGCUACCAGACGAAACUGACUUCUUGACUGUAUUUCUCCUCAUG
Molecule: long non-coding RNA, 27293 nt
Filed under: Zostera marina
Lineage: Eukaryota; Viridiplantae; Streptophyta; Magnoliopsida; Alismatales; Zosteraceae
Description: long non-coding RNA (ZMAR_LNC000482)
Source: RNAcentral